This 257-nucleotide long non-coding RNA is filed under the name Zostera marina. RNAcentral's name for it is "long non-coding RNA (ZMAR_LNC006089)". The record is from RNAcentral. Lineage: Eukaryota; Viridiplantae; Streptophyta; Magnoliopsida; Alismatales; Zosteraceae.
UCGUCGUCCCACUCCUCGUUGGCCCUUACUUCCUCUGAGUACCGGUCCCGGGAGUGACGUCGCUCCGGCCGAUACCCCUCCAGCUCCCGCUCGGGUCGCUUGGAGCUCUCCCCCACCUGGUAACUGCUCUUCGUCAUCCUUUUCUCUCCGGCCGCCAUGUAUUUCUUUCACGUCAGGUUCACCACUGUUGGUGUGUGGGCUCGUCGGUGUAAGCUCACAACCUCAACUCUCCCAAGUAUUCACUCUCCAGAACUGUC